CGGUCGCAACCGAAGCAUCCGAUGCCACCGCUGCCACCGUAAACGUCAUCUCAGCUGUGAAGAAGAGGUGGAGGGGCACUGUUAGUACCGUCGUCGCUAUUCCGCGUAGUCGCUGUCGAGAAGCAGAACAAAACAGAGAGAGACGUGAAGGAGGAUGAUGGAGGCCACCACCGCUGCUAUUGUCAUCGCUGGGCUAGUCGGAAGCCACCGUGACCACCACUGAUCUCUACGCUUCUGUAGAGUCACUGAUGGAGGUUGAAUAAUGAUGCUGGUGUUGCCGUGGGACUGUUGAAGCUGCUGCUAGUUCUAAUUUGUUACCUUGGUACUCGUCUGAUCUUUCCCUUAGGUUUGGUCCAUUUACACGUUCUGUUUUGUCACUGCUAUGGUUACCAUGUUCUGGUUUUAAUUUAAUUUUAGUCCUUGCUUU
This is a non-coding RNA of Arachis ipaensis, 427 nucleotides long. The record is from RefSeq and is a predicted model, not a curated record. Lineage: Eukaryota; Viridiplantae; Streptophyta; Magnoliopsida; Fabales; Fabaceae.